Molecule: RNA transcript, 971 nt
Organism: Odobenus rosmarus divergens (Pacific walrus)
Lineage: Eukaryota; Metazoa; Chordata; Mammalia; Carnivora; Odobenidae
Gene name: olfactory receptor 56B1-like
Exons: 1
Source: RefSeq, a predicted model, not a curated record
GAUGUCUGCAUCUCUGAAAGGCUCUAAUAGCUCCAAAUUCCAGGUCUCUGAGUUCAUCCUGAUGGGAUUCCCAGGCAUUUAUAGCUGGCAACACUGGCUCUCCUUACCAUUGGCAAUACUCUACCUCUCAGCAAUUGGUGCUAACACCCUCAUCCUCAUCACCAUCUGCCAGGACCCUGCCCUUCAGCAGCCAAUGUACUAUUUCCUAGGCAUUCUCUCUGUGGUGGACAUGGGGUUGGCCACCACCAUCAUGCCCAAGAUCCUGGCCAUCUUCUGGUUUGAUGCCAAGGUCAUCAGCCUCCCUGAGUGUUUUGCUCAGAUUUAUGCCAUUCACUGCUUUGUUGGCAUGGAGUCUGGUAUCUUCCUCUGCAUGACUUUUGAUAUAUAUGUAGCGAUUUGUCACCCUCUUUGCUAUCCAUCAAUUGUCACCAAUGCCUUAAUCUUAAAAGCUACCAUGUUCAUGGUACUUCGAAAUGGCUUGUUUGUCAUUCCCGUGCCUGUGCUCGUAGCCCAGCAUAAUUAUUGCUCCAGGAAUGAGAUUGAGCAUUGCCUGUGCUCUAACCUAGGGGUCACCAGCCUGGCUUGCAAUGACAGGAGGCCAAACAGCAUCUGCCAAUUGCUUCUGGCAUGGAUUGGAAUGGGUAGUGACCUAGGUCUUAUAAUAUUGUCAUAUACUUUGAUUCUGUGCUCUGUACUUAGACUGAACUCGGCUGAAGCUGCAUCUAAAGCUCUGAGGACUUGUAGCUCCCAUCUGAUCUUUAUUCUCUUCUUCUACACAGUUGUUGUAGUGGUUUCAGUAACUCACCUGGCAGAAUCCAAAGCUCCUUUGAUUCCAGUUCUCUUCAAUGUGCUGCAACAUCAUUCCCCCUUCCCUCAACCCUAUGGUUUAUGCACUGAGGACUAAAGAACUUAGGGCAGACUUCCAAAAGAUGUUUUGUUUGAGCUUAGAAAAGAACACAAGGCACCAGUGA